GAAGCGGGCCAGACCGCCGCUGGUGCAAGGCCCGAAAGGGCGCACUGGAGGAAGGUCCGGACUGCACAGGGCAGCGUAGCAGCUAACGGCUGCCCACCGUGAGGUGAGGAUCAGAGCAACAGAGACGAGCCGAUUCAGUUCGGGUGAAACGGGCAAUCUCUACGCGCAGCAACACCAAAUAGGCCAGCGUUGAUGUGGCUCCGCGGAGCUGGCGGGUAGGUGGCACCGAGCCGUGCAGUGAUGCACGGCCCAGAGGAAUGGCGGUCACG
This 269-nucleotide RNase P RNA is filed under the name Rhizobacter sp. RNAcentral describes it as "partial RNase P RNA component class A". It matches the Rfam family "Bacterial RNase P class A", at positions 1 to 323 of the family's 367-position model. From Rfam's summary of the family: Ribonuclease P (RNase P) is a ubiquitous endoribonuclease, found in archaea, bacteria and eukarya as well as chloroplasts and mitochondria. Lineage: Bacteria; Pseudomonadati; Pseudomonadota; Betaproteobacteria; Burkholderiales; Sphaerotilaceae. The record is from RNAcentral.